RNAcentral lists this ribosomal RNA (492 nucleotides) under uncultured bacterium. Its description in RNAcentral is "partial 16S ribosomal RNA". It matches the Rfam family "Bacterial small subunit ribosomal RNA", at positions 29 to 507 of the family's 1533-position model. The record is from RNAcentral.
AGUGAACGCUGGCGGUAGGCCUAACACAUGCAAGUCGAACGGCAGCACAGUAAGAGCUUGCUCUUACGGGUGGCGAGUGGCGGACGGGUGAGGAAUACAUCGGAAUCUACUUUUUCGGGGGGGAUAACGUAGGGAAACUUACGCUAAUACCGCAUACGACCUACGGGUGAAAGCAGGAGAUCUUCACACCUUUCGCGAUUGAAUGAGCCGAUGUCGGAUUAGCUAGUUGGCGGGGUAAAGGCCCACCAAGGCGACGAUCCGUAGCUGGGCUGAGAGGAUGAUCAGCCACACUGGAACUGAGACACAGUCCAGACUCCUACGGGAGGCAGCAGUGGGGAAUAUUGGACAAUGGGCGCAAGCCUGAUCCAGCCAUACCGCGUGGGUGAAGAAGGCCUUCGGGUUGUAAAGCCCUUUUGUUGGGAAAGAAAAGCAGCAGGUUAAUACCCCGCUGUUCUGACGGUACCCAAAGAAUAAGCACCGGCUAACUUCGUG